RNAcentral lists this ribosomal RNA (509 nucleotides) under Guptibacillus hwajinpoensis. RNAcentral describes it as "bacterial SSU rRNA". It matches the Rfam family "Bacterial small subunit ribosomal RNA", at positions 38 to 524 of the family's 1533-position model. Lineage: Bacteria; Bacillati; Bacillota; Bacilli; Caryophanales; Guptibacillaceae. The record is from RNAcentral.
GCCAGGGGGGCGUGCUAUACAUGCAGUCGAGCGAAGAGAUGGGAGCUUGCUCCCAGAUCUUAGCGGCGGACGGGUGAGUAACACGUGGGCAACCUGCCCUGCAGACUGGGAUAACUCCGGGAAACCGGAGCUAAUACCGGGUAAUACAUCGCACCGCAUGGUGCAAUGUUGAAAGUUGGCUUUCUGAGCUAACACUGCAGGAUGGGCCCGCGGCGCAUUAGCUAGUUGGUAAGGUAAUGGCUUACCAAGGCAACGAUGCGUAGCCGACCUGAGAGGGUGAUCGGCCACACUGGGACUGAGACACGGCCCAGACUCCUACGGGAGGCAGCAGUAGGGAAUCUUCCGCAAUGGACGAAAGUCUGACGGAGCAACGCCGCGUGAGUGACGAAGGCCUUCGGGUCGUAAAGCUCUGUUGUUAGGGAAGAACAAGUACCGUUCGAAUAGGGCGGUACCUUGACGGUACCUAACCAGAAAGCCACGGCUAACUACGUGCCAGCAGCCGCGGUAAU